GAGUUGAGAGAAUAUAAAGAAGAAGAUAAGAAAACUUCUUUUAAACACAUGCAAUCCCCAAAGUUAUUGUUUCAUCAAUCAGGAAUCAUAUAGGGGUCUGACAAAUUCCCUGAAAUAUCCACAAAUACUAACAAUUUUAAUCUCAAACUGAGAAAAAGGACAAUCAACCUUAGAAACAUGUAGUUAGGAAAUAAGUAAUGCUAAAUUUUAACUUAGGCACAAACAGAUUAGAUUGUCUCUAAGAAAAUGACAGCCAGCCUGUCACAGGGCAAUGCAACACUGAAUGUUCCAUACGUGGACAUGCCUUAAGUAGCUGGUUAUAUCAACAGCAUUGUUCAGCUGAACUUCCUUUAGUUUUACCCGUGUUGAAAUCAAAUAGCUAAGCAAUAAGCAUAUAGAUUUAUUCUUAUCACCUUUAAGACUGAGUUAAUUGUAUACCUUUUAGGUUCUAGAUGUACAUUUUGAAACUUAAGUUUUCCAUUCUAGAUUUCAUAAAAGUUUAUACAUACUGUAGAAGUUCCUGUGGACUUUUUGAUACUACUCUUCCAUAUUUUUGUUUCCUCCACAAAGGUCCCACCAGUGGGAUUAUUUUUGCAUUUCCAACAGCAAAAAAUAUUCAACGACAUUAUAAAUUAUAUUUGAAACUAGCCAACAGAAUUUUCAAACACUGUAAACAUGGAAAUCUCCCUAUUACCCUUAGGCAACAAUAAAGUAGCAUCACAGUAGUACACAGAUUCUAGAUGUUUAUAGUAUGAAACAAAACCUGAGUUUAGACAGGAAAGGACACUUUUUGAUACAUUUUUGAUGAGUUUCUGGCAGAAACUCAAUGGACAGAAAUGCAGAAAUUCAUACAAUUCUUUUCCAACUUCUUCAGGUGAACUAAUAUACCACAUAUCUACAAUAUCUUCAAGAGAAAUAAAAUGUAUAGUAACCAGCAAGUUAAAAACCUUGAAUACUUAACAGACAGUAGAAUAAUCAUGGACUAGGCGGAGUAAGGGUACAAUCUUGAAUGAAUCAUUGCUAGAAUACCAGUUAGAAAAAGGAAACUAGACCCAAACCAAAACAACAAAAUGCCAAAGGAACAGCCUGAUUUUGAAACAUCUUGAAAGGAGACUUUAACCUGGAAACAAGGAAGCCUCAUACAAUUUCAUAUGGGAUACUUUAGUAACUGUUGUACCAGACUGUAAGCCAGAGAGAUAGUUUCUCUGCUAAAACCAGAUCUUUUGAGUAGCAACAUAACGGUGGGUGUUUUGUCCGUCGUUUGAUCUGCCUGCUCUGGAGACAAGCUCAGCAGUAAGUGCACCAGAGAAGCUUGAUACAGCUUGCAAGAAUGUAAGUACACUAGUAACUUAAACCUGUGAAGACAUGUUUCUCUUGCAUAAUUAAUAUGCAAUUUGAAAAUGACAGAUUUCUACAAGUUAACUGAAAUAAAACUUUCACAACAAAGCUUCAACCUACAUUAGGCUGUUUGUCUUCCUUUCAAACUAUUCCUUGCCUUAACUUCCUUUUCAGCUCCUCAUGCUGCCUUUGUAAGCAUCCAUGUUUUCCCUCAGCAAUGAUUCUCAGCUUCCACAUCCCGUGCAGGGAUUUCGGGGAAUGCAUACCAUCACCCAGAAGAUACUCACAUCAGCACCAAACAUUUUGCUUUAUCUAGCCCUGAGCACAUAAAUUUAAGCAAGUGCUCCUGUACUCAGAUUUUUCAAAUUUCUUUACCUAGAAUGCAUGGAUGAAAUAAACAAAACCUAAGGUAUUUCAAUUAAUUUUACACAUUUUCUUCUCUCCAUAUUCCAUGUUCUUCUUGCAGAGUACUCCUCUACAUUUUUAAAGAAAAUAACCACCUAUUUCUUGUUCUUAAUGCUAGAAAUACAAGUAUUUGCCUAGCUUUACAAGAACUCCGGUAACUGCAGUAGUAAAGUAAGAACAGCACCAGCCUCAUGGAAUGAACACGGAAGUGCUCAAGGAAAAGACUAAUUCAGAGAGCGUUCAUAUCUCAUUUCUGCUAGCCACUUAAUUAAUAGCUGAGAAAAAACCAACCUCCAUUAAAGACUUAGCACCUCGUUCACUACGAAGAUUUAUAUCAAAAAUAUCAAGACUAGUAUGAAGUAAGUACACAUGGAAGUACCUGGCACGCCAAAAAUAACAGGGCCUGAUAACGAAAGACAGGAUCCACAGGAAGCAAGCUGGUAAACACUUUGCAACACACUGCUUGUAUCACAAGGCGGCCCACAAUCGAGUAAGGCCACAGCAAAGACGGUUUGUCAGCAGAAAACAAAUAUGCUCUGACAACAGGGUAAUGACAAGGUGACCACAUCUCAUGUGCCACUCCUCUUGGUGUUAUCCCAACAGGAAGACAGACUGUAGCCACAAAAAUUCCCAGAAGGAGGGAGCAAAGACACUUUUCAGCAACCUCGCCCCAGACUGAUGGCAGCUGAAGUAAGCACGAUUUUGAACGGUCUGAUUCUUAAAGGCAAUCUAGAAAACACUUCUAACCACCAGUCUGUCAUUGCCAAUCAAGCAGAGGCCAAAAGAUGAAGACUCAACACUGCGUUCCUUAUCCUCGGUGUUGCACACAAGUGAUCCUGGCCCUGCCACCUGGAUACGUGCAUCUUAGUGACUCAUACAUGGCUGUGACAGUGUGAGCAAGUGAAAACUGUGACCGAGUGAGAGAAAUCAGUUUUAAUACCACCUUCCCCUCCCAUGAAGUCUUGCACUAAGCUCUGCUGCACUAUUUUCCUAAACCACUAAUUCCAGCGAGAGCACUUCAGACAGUUACAAAUCUCCAAAGGUUCUCCAAGAAAAAUUUGGGAGAGCAAGACUCAACACCUGUAUGUUGAAAACCAGGCCAGAUGGGAACCCUGUACCAGAAUCCUUCUACUGUGUUUAGGCAGCCUAGUGACUGAUCCUCACUACCCACUUCCUCCAGAAGAACAAGAUUGCUUGUGCCUUGACUACUGCUGUACCAUACUUGGAGAAAUACUCAAGUGGAUUUCUAUAACCCAAAUCUCUGAAGUGGCGGAGUGUGCCAAUUAACCACAUGGAGGACCCAUGAAGGCCAGUAUUUUACAUUUUUACAUUUACUUUGACCUACAGCCUAUAUCAUCACAAGAUUCCUUUAAUCCUAAAGGCAAUUAAGUGUCACAAUCACUGUUGAGCAAAUACAGCUGGAGCUUGCAAAUCA
Molecule: long non-coding RNA, 3178 nt
Organism: Falco peregrinus (peregrine falcon)
Lineage: Eukaryota; Metazoa; Chordata; Aves; Falconiformes; Falconidae
Exons: 2
Source: RefSeq, a predicted model, not a curated record